GAUGAAGAACGUAGCGAAAUGCGAUACUUGGUGUGAAUUGCAGAAUCCCGUGAACCAUCGAGUCUUUGAACGCAAGUUGCGCCCGAAGCCACUAGGCCGAGGGCACGCCUGCUUGGGCGUCACACGCCGUUGCCCCCCCAUCUACUCCUUCGGGAUUGCGGGGGGGCGGAUGAUGGCCUCCUGUGCGCCUAGCCGCGCGGUUGGCAUAAAUACCAAGUCCUCGGCGACGCACGCCACGACAAUCGGUGGUUGCGAAACCUCGGUUGCCCGUCGUGUGCGUUCGUCGCGCAUCGAGGGCUCGAAAAAAUGCUCGGCUCCGGCUGGGCUUUCAACGCGACCCCAGGUCAGGCGGGGUUACCCGCUGAAUUUAAGCAUAUCAAUAAGCGGAGGA
This 391-nucleotide unclassified non-coding RNA is filed under the name soil metagenome. RNAcentral's name for it is "partial contains 5.8S ribosomal RNA, internal transcribed spacer 2, and large subunit ribosomal RNA". The stretch from base 1 to 122 matches the Rfam family "5.8S ribosomal RNA", at positions 35 to 154 of the family's 154-position model. The record is from RNAcentral.